UACAGAGGGUGCGAGCGUUAAUCGGAAUUACUGGGCGUAAAGCGUGCGUAGACGGUUUUUUAAGUCGGAUGUGAAAGCCCCGGGCUCAACCUGGGAAUUGCAUUCGAGACUGAAUAGCUAGGGUGCGGUAGAGGGAAGCGGAAUUCCCGGUGUAGCGGUGAAAUGCGUAGAUAUCGGAAGGAACAUCAGUGGCGAAAGCGGCUUCCUGGACCAGCACUGACGUUCAGGCACGAAAGCGUGGGGAGCAAACAGG
RNAcentral lists this ribosomal RNA (253 nucleotides) under uncultured bacterium. Its description in RNAcentral is "partial 16S ribosomal RNA". It matches the Rfam family "Bacterial small subunit ribosomal RNA", at positions 524 to 776 of the family's 1533-position model. The record is from RNAcentral.